UGAGUAACCUGCCCUGGACUUUGGGAUAACCCUCGGAAACGGGGGCUAAUACCGGAUAUGACAUGCUCUCGCAUGGGGGUGUGUGGAAAGUUUUUUCGGUCUGGGAUGGGCUCGCGGCCUAUCAGCUUGUUGGUGGGGUGAUGGCCUACCAAGGCGACGACGGGUAGCCGGCCUGAGAGGGUGACCGGCCACACUGGGACUGAGACACGGCCCAGACUCCGUACGGGAGGCA
Molecule: ribosomal RNA, 232 nt
Filed under: uncultured bacterium
Lineage: Bacteria
Description: partial 16S ribosomal RNA
Rfam family: Bacterial small subunit ribosomal RNA
Source: RNAcentral